GGAGUUUAAAUCAUUUGUCUGUGGUCACUAGAUUGGCUUGUAGCAGAGCCUGAGCUCCUGACAUUCAGACUGUUGCUUUUUCCUAUAUUGUUAAAAUUAUAUUGUGGAUAAAGAGGAUUACUUCCUGGAUAUUACAGGGUUUCACUGAAUGUAGGCUGUCUAAAUUAAUACACAGUCUUUGUUGCCACAGUAAUGCUAUUUUUCUGAUAUUUAGGCCCUAUCCACACAUUCUUUCUACACCAGCAGCUCAAACAAUGUCUGCCUAUGCAGGCCAGGCUCAGUAUUCGGGGAUGCAGCAGCCAGCCGUCUACACAGCCUACUCACAGACAGGACAGCCCUACAGCCUGCCCACAUACGAUUUGGGUGUGAUGUUGCCAGCCAUCAAGACAGAGAGUGGACUUUCCCAAACUCAGUCCCCAUUACAGAGUGGUUGCCUCAGUUACAGCCCAGGGUUCUCUACCCCACAGCCAG
RNAcentral lists this small RNA (471 nucleotides) under Pongo abelii (Sumatran orangutan). Its description in RNAcentral is "retained intron". The record is from RNAcentral. Lineage: Eukaryota; Metazoa; Chordata; Mammalia; Primates; Hominidae.